RNAcentral lists this ribosomal RNA (123 nucleotides) under Metagonimus yokogawai. Its description in RNAcentral is "partial 5.8S ribosomal RNA". It matches the Rfam family "5.8S ribosomal RNA", at positions 33 to 154 of the family's 154-position model. From Rfam's summary of the family: 5.8S ribosomal RNA (5.8S rRNA) is a component of the large subunit of the eukaryotic ribosome. It is transcribed by RNA polymerase I as part of the 45S precursor that also contains 18S and 28S rRNA. Lineage: Eukaryota; Metazoa; Platyhelminthes; Trematoda; Opisthorchiida; Heterophyidae. The record is from RNAcentral.
UGUCGAUGAAGAGCGCAGCCAACUGUGUGAAUUAAUGUGAACUGCCUACUGCUUUGAACAUCGACAUCUUGAACGCAUAUUGCGGCCAUGGGUUUUCCUGUGGCCACGCCUGUCCGAGGGUCG